Leptonychotes weddellii (Weddell seal) is the source of this 433-nucleotide non-coding RNA. The record is from RefSeq and is a predicted model, not a curated record. Lineage: Eukaryota; Metazoa; Chordata; Mammalia; Carnivora; Phocidae.
CUGAACAGAAUCACCUCUUAAUUCUCCCUGCCAUCAGAAAAGCCAUCCAGCUGCAUAGCAAAAGGCACCUUAUCCAGAACGCAGGAUCCGGGGCCCCUCUGAGGACCCUGGAGGGGCGGGGGGAGGCAGUCCAUCAGGAUCCCCAAACACCAAUUUGCUGACCAAGAUGCCCAGUUCUCCUACAGCGCAGGAUGCGUCUGGGAGGACUGGAGGCAAGGCCUAGCCGAUGGAGUCCGGCCCACACCUCGUUUCGGUGCCUGUGACUCGGUGGCAAGACCCGCGCGCGCGAGGCAGUGGGGCGGGCGGGGCGCACUCGCCCUCUUUCCUUUCCCCGAUUCCCCCGGAGCAGGGGCUGGGCUGUGGGAGGGGCGCUCGGGGGAGGCACUCACCGAGGAUGCGGAUCUGCGUGACGGCUCCGUGCAGGCCGAAGAGC